UAGGGAAUCUUCGGCAAUGGGGGGAACCCUGACCGAGCAACGCCGCGUGAGUGAAGAAGGUUUUCGGAUCGUAAAGCUCUGUUGUUAAGGAAGAACGAGUGUGAGAAUGGAAAGUUCAUACUGUGACGGUACUUAACCAGAAAGGGACGGCUAACUGCGUGCCAGCAGCCGCGGUAAUACGUAGGUCCCGAGCGUUGUCCGGAUUUAUUGGGCGUAAAGCGAGCGCAGGCGGUUAGAUAAGUCUGAAGUUAAAGGCAGUGGCUCAACCAUUGUAGGCUUUGGAAACUGUUUAACUUGAGUGCAGAAGGGGAGAGUGGAAUUCCAUGUGUAGCGGUGAAAUGCGUAGAUAUAUGGAGGAACACCGGUGGCGAAAGCGGCUCUCUGGUCUGUAACUGACGCUGAGGCUCGAAAGCGUGGGGAGCGAACAGG
This 429-nucleotide ribosomal RNA is filed under the name Bacteroidota bacterium. RNAcentral's name for it is "Bacteroidetes bacterium partial 16S ribosomal RNA". It matches the Rfam family "Bacterial small subunit ribosomal RNA", at positions 355 to 776 of the family's 1533-position model. Lineage: Bacteria; Pseudomonadati; Bacteroidota. The record is from RNAcentral.